GACGAACGCUGGCGGCGUGCUUAACACAUGCAAGUCGAACGGAAAGGCCCUGCUUGCAGGGUACUCGAGUGGCGAACGGGUGAGUAACACGUGGGUGAUCUGCCCUGCACUUCGGGAUAAGCCUGGGAAACUGGGUCUAAUACCGGAUAGGAGCCAUUUUUAGUGUGAUGGUUGGAAAGUUUUUUCGGUGUAGGAUGAGCUCGCGGCCUAUCAGCUUGUUGGUGGGGUAAUGGCCUACCAAGGCGGCGACGGGUAGCCGGCCUGAGAGGGUGGACGGCCACAUUGGGACUGAGAUACGGCCCAGACGCCUACGGGAGGCAGCAGUGGGGAAUAUUGCACAAUGGGCGCAAGCCUGAUGCAGCGACGCCGCGUGGGGGAUGACGGCCUUCGGGUUGGAAACUCCUUUCGCUAGGGACGAAGCUUUUUGUGACGGUACCUAGAUAAGAAGCACCGGCUAACUACGUG
RNAcentral lists this ribosomal RNA (465 nucleotides) under uncultured bacterium. RNAcentral describes it as "partial 16S ribosomal RNA". It matches the Rfam family "Bacterial small subunit ribosomal RNA", at positions 28 to 507 of the family's 1533-position model. The record is from RNAcentral.